UUUUUACAAGUAUCUAAUCUUCCUUGCAAUUUUAAAUCGAGACCAAUCCAACACAACCAAUCAAUUUCAACAUAUUUUCAAGAUAGAUUUAACGUAUUCAUAAGAUAACCUCAUCACAUAACAAAACCAAAAUUUGUUAGCCAUACCAAUGACUAACCAUACAUUCAUUUCACAUUAACAUUUACUUUACUAGCUUAUACAUGCCAUUGAUUUCCAAAUUAAAGUUUCUUUAUAUACCGAGAUCUUGAGAUUGAUAGUGUGAUACGUCUCUGACCGAAUCCGACCUUCGAGCUCUUAACACUACAAAACAGGGGAAAAAGAAACAGGGUAAGCACUUUUUGCUUAGUAAGUUCAUGCAACAAGAAUUAUACUUACCUAAUAUUUUCAAUACAAUGCAAUAAACAUUCAUACACCAUUCCAUACAUUAUUCCCCUAUCAUGCACAAACUCAACAUUCAAAUUAGUCUAAUAAUUUCCAUGUAUCAAUAAUUUAUACCAUGAUUGAUGAGCUCAUCAAUUCCAUAAUUUCCAUUCCCUUGUUAUUUUUCCAUAUUUAUCCCGUUGAACUACUUGGAAUUUCGAUGGAUUUUUAGAGGUACACUUUAGUGUACAAAUCCGGGUCCGUCAAUUCAUAUUCAUGUGCGCACAUUUCCGUUUCAGAGAGCACACUCCCGCGAACCUCAUCCUUAUAGCGGGAUUACCAUUCCAGGCUAAAUCCCCUGUAAUAUAAAAUCAUAGAGUAUUGUCGGGAUUACCAGUCCAGGCUAAAUCCCCUGCAACGAGAAUUACUCUAAUGAGCUUGGAUCUGAAUUACCAGUCCAAGCUAAAUUCAGACCCUAAUUCGGAUUACCCGUUUGGGCUAAUUCCAUUUUCCACAUAUUCUUCGGGAGGGCUAUAUCAGGAUAGGAUCACUCGUCCGGGCUAGAUCCUUUUUACUGUCAAUUCCUUUUCAAAGAUCCAUCGAAUUUUCCUUCCAUUCAACCAGGAUUUCUUCUCCUUUUUAUCAAAUAUAUCAAUAUUUCAUCAAUUUACAUACAGUGAACAUUCAAAUCAUAUUCACAUCAAUAACAUACAUGUCAAGCAUUUAAGAAUAUAAUUCCAAUUACACGAACUUACCUCGAUACUUGUUCGUAAACAAAAAAAUCUACUAAUCCCGAACUUUUUCUUUUCCUCGAUCUAGCUUCGUAUUUGAAUUUUCUAGAUCUAAAUAAAUAAAUUUAAUCAUUAAUCUACUACAUUUCAUGUUAAUAAUAUCUCUUUUUAGGCUUAUUUACAAUUUAUGCCCCUCCUCAUUUAACAAUUGAGCUAUUUAAUCCUUCUAGUAACUUUUACACCUUUUUCAAUUUAGUCCCUUUUACUUAAUUGACUACCCAAACAUUAAAAUUUUCUAACGAAAUUUUAAUACCAUAUUACUAACAUUUCAUAAAUAUUUAUAAAAAUAUUUCCAACUCGAUUUUACAAGAUUGAGGUCUCGAUACCUUGUUUUUACCUAAUUUCUUUAAUAAUUUCUUUUUCUAACUAACCACUAAAUCGAUAAAAUUUUUCUAUCGAUAUUUUCAUACGAUUUUCCUAUCAUAUCAAUAUUUAUGCAAAAAUAUUAAAAUAAAUUUCUCUUUAAAUCAGAUUUGUGGUUACGAAACCACUAUUCCGAUAGCCUUGAAUUUGGGUCAUUACAUGAAGUGGCUUAUUAGUUUAUAGAAGAGAUGUCACUAAAUAAUUAUCAGUUGUAAGUCAUGAGGAUGAAGGCUAAUAGAGCAGCCGGUGUUUUUAAUCUAGAUGCAGUCACACUAUUAUCAAAUCAGGUAGAACAAUUAAAUAAGAAAAUUGAUGGUUUAUGUGUUUCUACACAGGUACAUUCGGUGAUGGAAUGCGAUGCAAAUGGAGGAGGAAUAAACAAUCUAGAAUAUUUACCCAACGGUCUUAACACAGAGAACAAAGAAAUCAACUAUAUGAGUAAUAAUUCUAGACCUCAGAAUAAUCCUUACAGUAACACUUAUAAUGCAGGUUCGAGGAACCAUCCCAAUUUCUCUUGGGGUGGUCAAGGAAACCAAGGACCACAACCCCAUCCAGGCUUUCAACCACCUUACCAACAAGAGAUAAAGCUGAACCUUGAGGAGAUGUUGACGAAUUUUAUUUCGGUGUUAGAAACCCGCUUCUAAAACACCGAAACAACGCUUAAAAAUCAACAAGUGUCAGUUCAAGGGCUCGAGAACCAAAUCGGUCAACUUGCGAAGUUGAUUUUAGAACGACCACAAGGUUGCUUGCCUAGCAACACCGAAACUAACCCAAGAGAGCAGCUUCAUGAAAUUACUUUUCGAGAUGAAGAAGGGUUAGUUGAAUCUGAGCUAGAACUGAGGCAAGAAAGUGUAGUAAGUAAAGGUGAGGUUGAGGUAAGCCAAAAUGAACAAAAAUCGGUUAGUAAAGAUUAUAAACCUCAAGUGCCAUAUCCUAAGGCGACAAAGAAAGACCACACAAACGAAUAAGUUGGUAAAUUUCUUAAACUUUUGAAAAAAUUACAUAUUAACUUAUCGUUUAUUGAAGCUCUUUCGCAGAUGCCCAAUUCUGUUAAAUUUUUAAACGUAGUUUGCUCAGCUAUUUUGCAAGAUAAAAUGCCCAAAAAAUUGAAAGAUCUAGGGAGUUUUACUAUUCCUUGUUUAAUUGGUAGUUUAAAGGUUAAUAAUGUUUUGGCUGGUUUAGGGGUGAGUAUUAAUGUCAUGCCCUAUAAAAUGUUUAAACAAUUAGGUCUUGGGAAACCCAAACAAACUAGGGGUAUUAUUGAAUAUGUACUUGUAAAAAUUGAUAAAUUCAUAUUCCCAGUUGAUUUCAUUGUUUUAGAUAUGGAUGAGGAUAGCGACGUACCUUUGAUUCUAGGUCGGCCCUUUUUAGCAACUGCCAGAACUAUUAUAGAUGUCGGUACAGGUGAAUUAAUACUCUGUGUAGGUGACGAAAUGAUUACACUCCAAGCUCGUGAUUCUGUUAAGACAAUUAGUGAUUGAGAUGAUUAUUCGAGUUCUGUUAAUAUUAGUAACCUUGUGGCUCAAAUUUCUUUGCAAGAAAUCCCUAGGAAAAAUGUGAUGGAGCCACAUUCCAGUCCAUGUGAUAAAAACAAAAUGACUAAUGAAGAACAAAUGCUACAUAUCAAUGAACUAGAUGAAUGGCGGACACAUGUCAAGGAGAAACCGAGAAUACACAAUGCAGAACCAAAGCUACACCAUAAUGAGCAUGUGGAUGGAACACACCAAAUUAAGGUUGGAGACAAAGUACUAUUAGAUAAAACAGAUCCUCGAAUUGCCACUUAAAAGCUUAAUACAAACGGAGCAACUCCUUUUAUGGUACUAAAUGUCUUCCCAAACAGUACAGUCGAGGUAAAUCAUUCUGACUUUGACACUUUUCAGGUAAAUAUUACUCGACUCAAACUUUAUUUUGAUAAUAGAAUUGACAGCAAGAAAAUUGAGUUUCAACUCCACGAAACACUGUGACCGUGCGAAUACGAGAUAAAUCGAGCUUAAACUUUAAAUAAACGCUUCUCGGGAGGCAACCCGAGAGUUAACACUGCUAAUUUUCUUAAUUUUAUCUCAUGUUAUUUUAAAUUAAUUAAUUUUGAAAAAAAACUGUUUUUAACCCACACAGCCUGAACACACGGGCAUGUCCAAGGCUGUGUACACUAAAAUGGUUUCGACAGUGAGUUACACAGCCUGGACACACGGGCGAGUCCUUGGUCGUGUGGAUCUUAAGACUUAGUUUUAAAAUUUUAAGGAAAUCGACAGUGAGUUACAUGGCUUGGACACAAAGGCGUGUCCUAGGCUGUGUGAAACCUAGAGCUAUUUUUUUCAUUUAAAAAUCAAGUCAGAGAGUUACACAGGCAAGACACACGACCGUGUGUGAGAGAAGGCUAAGCCUCACGGGCGUGUGGGAGUUCACACGGGUGUGAGAGAAGCGAAGGAGGUUGCACACGACUGUGCGAUACGGUCAUGUGUUCUAUACGGCCUUAACACACAGCAUGUCCAAGGCCAUGCGAAGACUGGGUCUACAUUUUUAAAAACGCAUACGGGCCUCACACGAUCAUGUCACCAUUAAAAACCCCAAUUCCCUUUUCAUUUUCUCUAUUUUGUCAUCUUUCCCAAACCCCUUAGCCAUAGUCGCCGCCGACCAAAUCUCCCCAUCUUUCCAGCCACCGUCGCCUUCGAACCACCCCACGCCCCUAAAUCCUUCGCCCUUCCUUUCCAUUUAUUUUCCUUUCUCCCAUUCUUAUCCCGUUCUAGACCAGCCCCAACCGACCUCCACCCUCUUGCCGACCAAGCCAGACCCUUCCCCUUCUCCUUUCCUCCCUUCGACCCCUACCACCGCUGCCGUCAGUCCUCUUUUCUUCUCCCUUGUUCUUUUUCUUUUCUUAUUAUUAUUCUAUUAUUAGAUUAUUAUUUAUUUAUUUAUUCUAAUUAUUUUAUUUUUAUUAGUUUUACUUAUUUUAUUUAUUUCUUUAUUUAUUAUUGUUUAUUCAAUUUCUUUACUGUUAAUUUUGUGUUUCUUCUUGAGUUCUGGACAUUUUUACUUUUUGUUUUGAUUUGAUUUGAUUUAUUUUUUUAUUUUUUUAUUUUUCAUUAAGCAGUAUUAUGCAUGUAAUUUAUUUUAGUUGAUUUUAUUUUGUUCUAUUUUCUUCUUACUAGUCUUGCUUCUUCAUUUUUAUUUUUGAUCAUUAUUAGCUUUAUUUAUUCUUACUAGGUUUUUGUUUGGUAGUAACUUUCUGAUUAUUAGUUUUAUUAUGUUCCAAGCCAAUAUGUCUCUUAGUCUAAUUGUUGAACUCCACUUAGAUUUUUCUUUCUUAUUCGCAUGCAUCUAUUAUGUUGAUUCGUUCAUUUAAUUUAUUUGAUUGUUUUAUUGUAGAUUCAUUAUGACGAACACACAUGGAAAAUCUAUGAUCGCCGUCCCCGCAUUGAAAAAGAGGAUGACCCCUGGUGCGACCUCCUCCUUAAGUGCCUCUGCCGAGGCUCGCCACCCUUAUCUCUUAUUUUCGGCAAUCCCCUAAGAGGAUUUAUUUCAACUCCUUCGAGUGCGACCACUCGGCCUAGGCUGAUGUAUUGAUUGGGCCGUGUUGGAGCAAGUCCAUCUAGCUGAUCAUGUGUGUGCCUUUAUUACUAUAGCUCCAUGGGACCGAUUUUUCUAUAUUAUCGAGCCCACAUACAUGGAGCUGACGUUGGAGUUUUGCUCGACAUUUACUCUUCAGCACAUGAUGGCGACUCAUGAUGCGUCAGACACCAUCACUUUCUGACUCUGUGGCUUGGUGCACCAUAUGAGUGUCCCCAAGUUUGGUGCUGUUAUGGGACUCUACAUUGGGGAGUUUAUGAGUAUCGAGAACUUCUUCCGCCUAUAUCGAAACAUCCACCACUUUCCAACUAGUUGUUGGACAGAUCUCACGGGGAGUAGAACACUUUAUAAUGCAAGUCGCUCAAAGGUGACUUCUCUCUCUCCAGCCUUACGGUAUCUUCAUGCCCUUUUAGCUCACACUUUGACUGGUAGGAGAGAAAGCACCAAAGUCGUCAGUAUUACUGAUGCUUAUUUUCUAUAGAGCAUAGCCACCGGACAUAUAUUUGAUUUGGCAUAUUUCAUCGCCUUAGCCUUCCGCCAUCAGAUUGAUCACCAUAGGAAGGGUCCCAUCUGUUGAGGCCCUUUUGUGACUCGACUUGCUCGACACUUCAGUCUCCUUGACACACUGGAGCUGUCCUCUACACUUACACUCGUCAGCCAGAUGUCCCCAUAAGGAAUCUCGAGCAUGAUCCAUAUGAGAAUGAUCGAGCGGCGUCGUGGAGCAGAUCCUUAUCAGUACUGAUUAGUUCAUUCUGACUCUUAGAAUAAACUCAAGAACUUCACUGAUAAUGUCCCCUUCCAUCACGAGGACCCACCUCAGUCUCCACCUUCGAGUCAUCGUCCUGUGUCUUCUGCUGCUACUUUAGUGGACCUCUCUAAGCAGUUCACUCGCUUCGAGCAGCACUGCUUUCAGAGGUUCGACAGUAUUGAUGCGACAUUACAGCAGAUCUGUCAGCAUUUCCAUAUCUCCUCCUCAACGCCAAUGAUUCAUGACACCGAUGCGUCUGAUGAUGAGGACUAUUGAGUCCAUUUGUUUUAUUUUAUUUUUAUUUUUAUUUUUAUUUUUAUGUUUAUGUUUAUUUUUAUUUUUAUUUUCUUAGACUUAUUUCAUUUUUAUAUGUUAAACUAUAAUUUUAUUUUCAUGGUUGUUCCUAAUCGAGUUUUAAUCCCUUAAUCUUCUUCACUUGUGUUUAUUUUCUUAGUAGUGUGCUUGGAAUCAUGCAUUACAUUUAGAUUUCACUACAAUUUCACUUUUCACUAUUCUGGGGAUUUCAUCCAAAAUUCAGGCAAGUUUUAGUUUUCUCCCUCUUUUGUACUAUUUUGUUUAUAUUGUGAUUAUAUUUGUUUGUACAUUAAGGACAAUGUACAUCAUAAGUGUAGGAAGGUUAUUUGUAUAAUUAUUAGAAAAUUCCUGAAUUAUGUCUCGUAUUUAAGUAAUUUUCUCAUACUUCUAUCAGAAAUUUUUUUUAUCAAUUUGUGGUUUUUAUUGAUGUGUUUUGGAUUAAAUUCAUAGGUAUUUAUGCAUUGAUUGUUUAAAAUUUAAGACAUGAGAGAAUCAAACAUGAUAAGUUUAUUUUCAAAAUUAAAAAUUUUAGGUUGUUUCCCUGAAUUGAUGUAUUAUCUUGAAGUUUUAAAUUUACAAGUUUGACAUCAAAACCAUAAUUUUUUGUGAGAUUUUGAGCCUUUAAAGCAUACAAUUUUCUUGCUCAUUUUAUUAUUGGUUAUGAGUGUGUCAAUUUGGUUUGUUAUUCUAGAACUUGCUUCGAUUAUGCAUGUCGAGACCACACCUUUGAGUUGAUAUAUUGAGAUGAUAGAGGCACUUAGGUUUUAACCCACUUAUUCCAUAAAAAGCCUACUUACAUAAUUAACCCUUAGAGAACCCCUUUGAGCCUAACACGACAUUUUUUGAUUUACCCAUUAAUGUUAACCCAUAACUCAUUUUUUUAUUUGAUGAGAAUUUUUCCCGUUUUAUUGACUCCCUUUUUGUCGAGAUUUGAUUUGGUUAGUUACCUAACUAUGCUCCUUUGUUUCAUUUACUGAGUUAUUUCUUAUUGUUCUCAAAUAUAUAUAUAUUUACAUAUAUAUUGAUUAUUACUUAGUUCUAUGUUAAUUGAGCUUGAACAGUUAAAUUCAUAUUUUGAGAAGAAGCUCAUGUUAUUCUUGAAUAGUUUUCGAUUGAUGUAAUUGUUUUUAAUUCAGCAUUUGUGUUUUUUUUAAUUUGGUAAUUUAUCAAUUCAAUCUCGAUUUUAACUAAUUUUUUCAGCCUUUCUCCAUAGCCUUUAACCUAAGCCUCAUUACAACCUCUUAAAGACCUUUUGAUUUGUGCAUCAUGUCAUUUUAUAGUGGUGGAGAUUUGAUUUUUAUGCAAGCCUAUGGUAAUGACUUUUUAGGUUUGACUAUAUAGUGCUUAUUUUUGGACCUUAAACACUUUGAGUGAUUUGAGUAAAUCUUUAGUAAGGAUGUUGAUUCUUGUCGAUUUUGAAUUAAAGGUAAUUACUUCGAUAAGAGGAAAUACCUAUGUUUUCAUGCUUUAAAAAUGUUUGACUUGGACUAUUUGAAUCUUUAGUGCUCUUUUAGUUGAAUUAUCAAUGUAUGAUUAUUUGUGAAUUAUGACAAAACAUUAUUGAUGAGAAUUAUAAGUUGAGAAAGAUUAAUUUUAAUUGUCAGUUGAGGAUUUUGCUUGAGGAUAAGCAAACGCUUAAGUGUGGGGAUAUUUGAGAAGCUAUAAAAGUAACAUAUUUUAAUCCCAUUCUUAAUGUAUUUUUGGAUGAUUAAUGAUGUAAAUUAGUGAAUUUGAUGCUCCUAAUCCUUUAAAUUCAUGUUUCUAUACUUAUGUGAGCAUAGGGGAGCGAAACAAACAAAAGAACAAGCCAAAAUCGAGUAAAAAGAGCUAUUUUUAGCAUCCACACGACCUAAGCAUUUCCACAUGGGCUGGCCACAUGCUCGUGUGGGCCACAAGAGUUGGCCACACACCCAUGUGUCAGCCCGUGUCGAUUUCACACCCUGCUUCCAGAACAUGUGGAAAAACCCAAUUUUUAGGCUUUUUAAGCAUUCUAAAGUCUAUAAAUAUCAAUUAGAAAAAUAUCUAAGGGGGCACGUAGAGAAGAUUGAAAAAUUACUCGAAGAACACCAUCAGAGCCAACUCAGAAGCGGAUCUCCUUCAAGAUUGAAGAUCUCCUUUUAACUUCAUCCAAAGUUUAUUUGAAUUUCUUUAUGUCUUGUAGUUUUUCUGACUUCGAGAUGUUUUCUUUUCAGAUUAUGAACUAAAUCCCCUAGAUACCUACGGAUGAUGAAACCUAUGAUGAAUCUUAUUAUUUGAUUUCUGAAUUACAUGAUAAAUACUUGAUUCUUGCUCUCAAUUAUGUAUACUUAUUUCGUGCUUUAAUAUUUUAGGGAUAUUAAUUCAUGUUUAAUGUUCUUAUUUCAGUGGAGCAAAAGUCCCUAUUUAAAAGUAGAUCUAGCAUAACUGGGUAGAGUUGCAUGAAAUCCUAGAAAUAUGACGACAUAAAUCUACCGGGUUAGAGUCAAAUCUAAUAGAGGAAUCCAUAGAUCAAGUUAAUGCGACAAUAGGGGGUUUAAUUAGAAAGAGAUUUCGAUUAAUUAACCUAGACUCAGUUGUUCUUACUCUCGAAAGAGAUAUUAACAUAAUUUAGGAAUUUUUACGGAUCAAGACACAAGUGAAUAAAUUAUUUAACUCAUAUUCGAAAUAAUAAGUGAAGUCUAGGUGGAUUCUUUCCUAGGUAUUUUCUUUCUCUUUGGCUAUCUUCAAAUAUUUUCCUAAUUUAUUCUCUGUCGCGUUCUUAGUUAAUUUAGAUUAGUAAAUUUAGAUUAGAACAAUCAUCCCAAUUUAUCGGCUAAAUAAUAGAAAAAUAGUAGUUACUAGUACUUUUAGUCCUCGUGGAUACGAUAUUCCCUACUCACCAUAACUUUACUAUUGUUCAAUAGGUGCACUUGCCUUUGUCGUAAUUAUAGUUAGUUUAGUGACCACCAAGAAGCAGUAGUUAAUGUUUGCUUUGUUGAACGCCAUGAUAUGGCAGUACCCCCACAUGUGAAUAAAUAUCCUAUUUGAGAUCACUCUUUAUGUGAAUACAAUAAGUAUCCAGCACCAGCAUAGCCGACUAAUAAGGAUUUUGAAUCAUUUGAAUAAAAUAACCCCAUAUCAAUAGUCUCUUUGAAAUAUUUAAUUAUUUGUUUAAUUCCAUUCUAAUGUCUACGUGUUGGAGAAGAACUAAAUCUUGUUAACAAGUUUAUAGCGAAAGCAAUAUCAAGUCUUGUGUUGUUUGCAAGAUAUAUCAAUACCCCUUUAACACUUAAAUAUAGUACUUUAGGACCAAGAAACUCUUCACCAUCCUCACAAGGAUGAAAUUAACCUUUAUUCACAUCUAAUAAUCGUACAACCAUCGGAGUGCUUAAUGGGUGUGUUUUAUCCAUGUGAAAUUUCUUUAAUAUCUUUUCCGUAUAAGCUGAUUAAUGAACAUGAAUUUCAUUUUUUAAAUGCUCGAUUUUUAAGUAAAGAUAAAAUUUUAUUUUUCCAAAAUCUUUCGUCUCAAAUUCUUUCUCUAAACAAUUUAUUAUAUUUUGAAGCUCUUCAGGAGUUCCAAUAAUAUUUAGAUUAUCAACAUAAACACAAUUAUCACAAAAUCUAAUCCAAAGCUUUUUAUAAAGACACAUGGACAAAUUGGAUCAUUUUUGUAACCUUCUUUGAACAAUUAUUCACUAAGACAAUUGUACCAUGUACGUCCAGAUUGUUUUAAUCCAUAUAAACUUUACUUUAAUCUGAUCGAGCAAUUUUUGUGAGAAACUCUAUAUCCUUUUGGGAUUUAAAAUCCUUCAGGGAUUUUCAUAUAAGUUUCACUAUCAAGUGUUCCAUAUAAAUAGGAUGUAAUGACAUCAAUUAGAUGGAUGUCAAGUUUUUCAUGUACUGCCAGACUAAUAAGAUAUCUAAACGUGAUUGUAUCCACCACAAGAGAAUAUGUCUCUUCAUAAUUAAUGUCCGGCCUUUGCGAAAAUCCUUGUGCUACAAGGCGAGCUUUAUAUCUUACGACUUCAUCAAUUUCAUUUCGUUUUCACACAAAUACCCAUUUAUAACCUAUCGGCUUUACACCUUCAUGUGUUUGGACUACAGGUCUAAAAACUUCACGUUUAGAAAGUGAAUUCAAUUAUGCUUGAAUUGCAUCUAUCUAUUUUUGCCUAUCUUUUCUAUUUUUACAUUCCUCAGUUGAUUUAGGCUCAAGAUCCUCAUUUUCUUUUGUUAUUUCAAUAACAACAUUAUAAGCAAAAUUGUUGUUGACAACUACAUUUUUUUUUUGGUUUCAUCUUUUUCUCGUAUUGACAUAACUUAUCGAUAUCUCUUUAUUUUCAUCAUUUUCUUUUUCACUUUUAGGUACCUAAAUCUCUUCUUGAGUUUUAUAAUUAGUUAUGUCAUGGGUCUCUUUAGGAACCCUUGCCUCUACUAUAUGACCAUCUUAAAUGUUUACUUUUUUUUCUUUUACAAGGAUUUUUAUCUUUGGAACCGAGCGGUCUUCCAUGCUUCAGGCACAGAUUAUUUUCUUUUGCACCCACAGUUUGCCCUAUUAGGACAUCAAUUUGUAUUGGAGCAUUUUCAAUUGGUAUGUGAGAUUUAAUGAAUUUGACAGUUGAUUUGUAAAAUGAAUUAUCUGUUGAACUUCAGGUUCACAUUACUUUGUAUGAGGAUCUUAGACAUUGAUAAUUCAUUUCAAGUACUUUAUUAAUCCAGCUUUUUAUCGUCUCCCCUUAAUGUUGGGAAAACUGACAACUCAUGUCAUAAUUAAAUCAUGAAUUAAUAGCUCAAAAAUAUUAUAAAGAGAAUCAUAUAAAUAUAUAUUCUCAAUCUUUUAUUACGACCCAUCUUUGUGCGUUGUGGUGGAGCAGUUGGAACACAUACCGCACAUCCAAAAAUUGUAAGAUGGGAAAUAUUUGGCUCUUGACCAAAAAUCAAUUGUAAUUGGUAGUAUUUAUAAUUUAUUGGCUUGAUGCGUACAACAUGUAAAUCAAUACAAUCUCAUGCUAAAAUAGGAAGUAUUGUUCUCAUAAGUAACGGUUUAGAUAUUAACCAGAGGCGUUCAAUCAAUAAUUUCUCUAAAUCAUUAUGCGCAUGAAUAACAAACUUUUACAAAAGUUUUUCAAACUCAAUCAAUAAAAGACUGAGAUAUAAACUCAUCAGUAUUAGCAAGACGAAUUGUCUUAAUUGCAUGAUAUGAAAUUAAUUAUUUAAACAAGCAAUCUUGCAAACAACAGGUUGCAAGUUGAUAACACAUACGUGAUUAUUUUGUAGAUGCAUCUACCAUAAUCAUAUAAUAUCAAAAUCAUCCACAUGGUGGAUGAAUGAGCCCAUAUUUAUUUCAAAAAUGCAAGACAUUAAAUCUCAACUUUAGCUACUGAGUUUCUAAGAAUCAAUUUUCAUUGAGAACAAACAACAAAUGAGAAUUCUUUAAAUUAAAGAAUCUUCUGGUCCUUUAAUGAAUAUUCAUAUGAGUUCUCAAUUAAUUUUCGCAUCAUAUAUGAUCCAAGAUGGUCUAACUGGUCACGCCAAGUAGUAAAUGUGUUUGUAUUAGUAAACUUCUUGUUUACUUUAACAUGUUUUUCAAUUGUACUAAUAAUGUAAAUAUAAAUUUUGACAAUUGAUAAUUUUAUUAUCAUUCUUUUUAAUUUGUAUCCACAUAUAAAUACUAUUGAGACAUCUACUACUGAAAAUGUCUAAAUCAAUGUGAAGUCUAUAGUGCCACUAAAUUAAUAAAUAAAUAUAAUUUUCAAACAAUUUUAUGUAAUUUUCGCUUCAGGAAAUAUGUCAAAAUAUUCAAAUAUAUAGCAUUUAGUCUAAUGAUAUGAUUCUCGCUUAGAGUGCCAGAGGUCCCGAGUUUAAUUCAAAAUAUAAAUAACUCAAUCCUCUUUUGAUUCAUAUGAAAUAUAAUAUUUUUCCUCAUUCACAAUCUCAAUAUGAGAUCCAUUAUGAAUAUAUUUUAAAACUAAUGCAUUAACCAUCACAAACUUGGUGCUUUUUAGAUAUUUAUAUAUUAGCUCUUUUGAAGCUUUCAACUAAUUUUGUACUAUCAAAUAUUAGAAUAUAUUUGUUUAUUUCAGUACCAAAUAAGAUAAAUAUUUUCUAUCUGUAAUGAUAAAGUUCAUUGCUACAUUCUCAUAUCCUUCCUUAAAGAAUAUUAACAGAAACAAAAUAUUUUUGCAUACACCACAUAUGUGACUAAUAAUCUUUCAUAUCACAUUGAUAACAUAAGUUACCUUUACCCUUUAAAAAGUUAUCUUGAGAACUCUCAUUGUUGUCUUAUUUAUUACUAUGUUUCCAGUUUUAGUUGUCCAUAAGUAUAUCUUUUAUUUUAUUUAUGUUUAUAUUCUUUAUUUCAUAAUCACCAUCGCAAACAUUUGUGAGAUUUCAAAUCAAAAUCUAUCUAUUCAUGUUGUCAUGAUUAGUCUCCAAUUAUAAAAAAAAAACAUGAUAUAAUAAAUAAAACAUAGUAAAAUAUACCUAAAGAUUUUUAACAUCAUCGUCAUCACAUUGACUAUUAUCACGAGCACUAUUACAAGUAGUAAAACAAUUUUGUUUUCGUAAUAACAUUUAUAAUCUAAUAGUAAAAUUCAUUUAAUAAAUAAUCAAAAUUUUCAUGUACGAUGCUUGAAAAUUAUUCGAUACACAUUAUACAAAAUUUCAAUAUCACAUAUAUGUUAUAAAAUCUUAUCUUGCUCUAAUAAAAUAUUUAUAAGUUCAAUUUAAAAGAUAUGAUACAAUCAUUCAGCAUUAGCAAGUUAAUAAGACUCAAUAGAUCCUAUCAAAUUUCCCUUUAAUCAACAAUGGUAGGUUAAUAACACUCUCCAUCAUAAUUAAAAUUUUAAGAAUAUUUAAUAAAAAAUAAAAAGAAUUUAAUAAUAAAAACAUCUAAAUUAUGCAUAAUAUAACUUAAUUAAAAAUAACUUCAAAAAAAUGAUUUACCAAAAAAAAUGAUAGAGAAAACAUACUAUAUAUUAAUAGUAAAUAUAUCUAAUCAACAAUUAUGUCUUUUACAUAAAAAAAUUAAACCUAGAAAGGCAAAAAUCAAAUACCAUCAGAAUGUAAAAUUUAUGUUAAAUAAAAAUUAAUAGUAGUCAUACCUUAAUUCAAAAAAAAAAUGAAGUUGUACAAUAAAUCUAUACUUUACCCAUGCUUGUACAAUAAAUCAAAGAUCAUGAAUAAGAAUUGUAACACCCCUUACCCGUAUCCAACACCGGAAUAGGGUACGAGGCAUUACCAGAACACAUACACUUGUAAACGUAUUUAACCGAGUUAUAAAAUUUCAUCUAAAUUAAAACCUUCAAAAUUAUUAACAUGCUUUUAUAACUCUUCACAAUAUAUCCUCAAAAUAUUAUAGUCUUAAUAAAUAUGGCCUAUGAGAUCCGAUACAUACUCAUGCAAUUCAAUGCUUCAUUUCCAUUUCAUUCAAUUUGCAAUUUCUCAUGCUCACAAUUUAAAUCAUAUCACUAGCAAAUUUUCAUUUAAUUCACGUACAAUUCAAUGCCACUAAGUUUAACACUAAUAUGUAAUUACCAUUUAAUUCAACGUUUAUUGACUAUACCAUUCAUUAACACGUUUAUGAAAUUCUCAAUUCAAUAACUUAUUCUAUUAAAUUCAAGUAUUAUUUCGCUAUUUCAAAUUAUUUUAUUUUCACUUCUCAUUUUUACAUCAUUUUAUAUUACCAAAAUCUAUUUCAUAAAAUUUAUCCUUAUCUGACAUUAAAUCACACACAUACUUUUCAUUACAAUUAUCACUACUAAUAAACAAUUCAAUCUUUUAAUAUUAUCAACUAAUUAUAUAUAACUAUCAUUCUUAUUUCUUUAUUUCAAAUUUCACUUUUCACAUAUGUCUUAUCAUUCAGACUUAGUUUUAUCAGUAACUUUAUUUCAUUUGCCCCUAUUAACUUGACUCGGACUCGACGGAUACACGGAUUCCAACCAAACACACCAGUAUACAGUAAUCAGUAACGGUAGCAGUAACAGUAUUCAACACACAAAGUGCUGAAUCUGUAACAGUAACGGUAACAGUAUUCGACACACAAAGUGCCGAAUCGAUAACAGUAACAGUAACAGUAUUCGACACACAAAGUGCCGAGUCGGUAACAGUAACAGUAACAGUAUUCGACACANNNNNNNNNNNNNNNNNNNNNNNNNNNNNNNNNNNNNNNNNNNNNNNNNNNNNNNNNNNNNNNNNNNNNNNNNNNNNNNNNNNNNNNNNNNNNNNNNNNNAGUAAGCCGGCAAAUACCCCGUACUCUUCCAUAUCCUAUGGCAUGCCAACUAUAUCCGACUAGCCCGACUAGUUAAUAGGGUAUUUAAUUCACUUUCCAGUAUAAAUUUCCAUCUUAGUUCAGUAUCAAUUAUAAUUUCUUAUUUCAAUCAGUUUCAUAGUAUUGCAGUAAUUCAUUAUUUCAGUAUUUUCACAGUUCAAUGCCGUAUACAUAACAAUAUUCAGUAUUCCGUAAUUCAGUUCAGUAUCAGUCUCACAUAUCAAUUUCCACUUUCUCAGUUUCAAUUCCAAUAAAAUCCAUAUCAAUCACCAAUUUCAAUGUUCCAGUUUAAUUCAAUAAUUCAAUUCAAACCAUUUCAAUUUCUAUUCAAUAAUCACAUUUCAAUGCAUAACUUAUAAAUUUAACGUGACAUAAUUCAGCCACUACUUGGCCAAAGCCUAAGCAUGUAUACCAAAUAUGUUAGCCAAAUACACAUAUAACAUAAGCAUUAUAAGCAUGGAUGAGCACAACAUUUAUUAAUGUGCCACAUUUACCAACAGGUGUUAAUUCAUAAACCAUUCAUGACAUUACUUCAUGCCCAAUCAUAUACCAAUUAUACUAUUCACACAUACUAUGAAACUUUAUUUUCACACAUGAGCUUAAACCAUGUCCAAUAAUGCACAAAUAUAAGCAUCAUUUCUAUUUUAUCGUUUAUCAAUUAUAAUCAGGCAUAUGACCAAUUAUACACAAAUCAUUCAUACAUUUCCCAAUUUUCCUCCUCCUCCUCUCCAUUCCACAUCCUUAAUGUGUAUAAUACACUUAAACAACAUUAACUAUAAUUUCACUAUUCACUCACAUGUAUAUUCAAAACUGUUUAUCCGAGUCAGAGUCACUAAAUUAUUUUUAUCCGGAGAUACAGAGCUCCAAAUUAAGAUCCGUAAAUUUUCCCCGAAACUAGAUUCACAUAUCUUCUUACCAUAAAAUUUUCAGAAUUUUUGGUUUAGCAAAAUAGUACAGUUUAUUCUUUAAAGUUUCCCCUGUUUCGCUGUCUAACAGUUCCGACCACUCUUCACUAAAAAUUAAUUAUCUCACUGUACAGAAUUCGGAUGAUGUUUCCGUUUAUUUCUUAUGAAAAUAGACUCAUUAAGGAUUCUAACCAUAUGAAUUAUAACUCAUAAUAGUUUUUGUACAAUUUUUAAUGAUUUUCCAAAGUCAGAACAGGGGAACCCGAAUUCAUUCUGACCUUGUCUCACAAAAUCCAUUAUAUCUCAUGAUUUACAAUUCCAUUGCUUACACCGUUUCUUUUAUAAGAAACUAGACUUAAUAAGCUUUAAUUCCAUAUUUUAUUCAUCCUCUAAUUCAAUCUCUACAAUUUUUGGUGAUUUUUCAAAGUUAGACUACUACUGCUGUCCAAAACUGUUUUAGUGCAAAAUGUUGAUUUCCAUUUUGCCCCAAAUUUCACAGUUUAUACAAUUCAGUCCUUUCUCAAUUAACCCCUCAAUUGAUCUAAUUCUCUCAAUUAAUACUUUACCUAGACAUUAUAAGUUAUUUCACAACUAUUGAAAUUCAGAAUUUCCACAUAUAGCUCUAACUUCAAACUCUUUUACUAUUAGGUCCCAAACAUUCACUUUCUAUUCAAUUCUUUCAAUAAAAUCAGCAUAUGAACAAUUUAAAGCUCUAAUUCCAUGAUAAAUUAUCAUAUACUUCCAGCACAUAUUCAUAUCAACUUUCAACUUCGCAUUUGUUAUAAUUUAGUCCUUUUUGUUCAAUUAAUUAUCAGAACUUUAAAAUUUCUUAACGAAACUUUAAUACUAACUUUUUAACGCUCCAUAAAUAUUUAUAAAAAUAUUUAUGGCUCGAUUUAAGAUCUUCGAGGUCUCGAUACCUCAUUUUUUUAUUCUAAUUAUUUUAAUAUUUAUUUCUAGUGCACUAUUCACUAUUUCAAAAAUUUUCCUAACUCAACAUUUAACUUAUACUCACUAAAUUAAUAAUAUUUUCUACUCAUUUGUCGAAUUUAGUGAUCUCAAAUCACCGUUCCGACACAUCUGAAAAUUCAGGCCAUUACAUUUUUUUUUCUCGUCGGAUUCGUGGUCCCAAAACCACUGUUCCGACUAGACCCAAAAUUGGGCUAUUACAACUCUCCCCCCUUUAAGGAUUUUCGUCCCCGAAAAUCUUACCAGAAGAAGUUACUUCCAACCCUCAUGAAACACUUUCACUAACUUUUCAGAAUCACUAAUCAAUUUAAUCUCAUAUAUAUAUAUAUAUAUAAAUAUUUUUUUUAAAUAAAUAUAUUUCUAUAUCAUAGUUUUUGAAAUAUAAAUUUUUUUUCAUUCUAACUAACUGUCUUCAUACUCAUGAAUGCACAGAAUUUAUUCUCUUAGCUAAGGACAUGCUUAAAUACAUAUAACUCAAAGACACAAUCUUUCAACAUUCUUUUAGCAUACAAAUCACCAGAAUCACCAUAUUUUAGCUCUGGAAUUUCAUCGCAGCAAAACAACACACUUUCUAAAUAUGCAUACAAAACAGAACAAUAACCGAUCACAAACCGGCCAAUCCAACUGGGCUUUCGUCUGACAUCUUAUUUAACUAACAUUCUCAUAACAUAAGAAGUCCAUUAGAAACUGCACAAUUAUACACAUAUCUCUGAGAAUAAAAGAAUAUAUAGAAUAUCCAAAAAAAAAUCAUCGUGUUCAUUUCGAUUGUAAUCGUCACACACAGGCAUUUUUACCACUUCAUUUUCAUUUCUCUCACUAAUUCUGUUAUCACGGACCUCACAUUAUUCUAUUCACUAACAAUCUGAUAUUUCUUUUAAAACUAAGUUCAUCUAUUACACUAGGCUCAACUCUGUUUGCAUUACUAAUUAUUUGACCACUGAACUCUUUACUUUACAGUUAUAGGUUUAUUCAACAUGAUUCUCGUAAAAAUUUCGUUAUAAAACAAUACUGAUAAAGGGGGUGAGGUCAUAAAGCUUCUAACUUAUUCUCAUAAAUACAUAAAUAAAUAACUUAACAUUCAUCAUCAAUGUAAUACCAUCAUAACCACCUAGUUCAUUCAUAUAUUUUAUCACAUAUAGGGGUCACACGCCCGUGUGUCUACCCGUGUGGACAAUAUUUUAUUACAUUCAAGUACCAAUUUAAGAUAUUCAACUAAGUCUUAUAGUUUUCACCAUUUGUUCAUUUCAUAGCCAUACCAAUAACCAUCAUUUUCUUGUAUUUAAGAUAAAUACAUAUAUCCAUACAUAAGCAUGCAAUUCACUAUUCUUCCUGUCAAUCACAAUUUCAAAUGACAGACUCAUGUAAAUGAGCUCAAUUUCACUGUUCAAUAUGGUUUAUCACAUAAAAUUUGCUUAACACUUACCACAAUUUGUCAAAUCAGAGAACGUCUUACGGAAUUGAGUACUUCAUUUUCUCGAUGCCAUAGUCCAACUAUGGUCUUACACGUAAUCACAUAUCACAUACCGAUGCCAUAGCCCAGCUAUGGUCUUAUACGGAAUCACAUAUCACUUACCGAUGACAUAUCCCAAAUAUGGUCUUACACGGAAAUCACAUAAUCACAUUUUCACAUGUUGCCAUGAUCAAACCAUGGUAUUUUCCGUCAAUUUAUCACAUAUCACUGAACGAAAGUACUCAUUCCUGCGUUCUACUCAAUUUGACCUUUUAGUUCUUCUUUUUUUUUAUUUUUAUUUUUCAUAUACUUGAGUAUCGUUUUCAACAUUAUCGAAAUUAGCUCAGUUGAGAAAGCAUUCAUGUUUAUGAGUAAAAUAAAUCUCACCAGAGUCGAAAGAUAUUACACUAUCAUAGGUUAUAUAAUGGCAUGUAUUUCCAAACUUCACAUAUGUUACGUUUGGUCCGAGAACCGACUAAACCGUAGCUCUGAUACCACUAAAUGUAACACCCCUUACCCGUAUCCAACACCGGAAUAGGGUACGAGGCAUUACCAGAACACAUACACUUGUAAACGUAUUUAACCGAGUUAUAAAAUUUCAUCUAAAUUAAAACCUUCAAAAUUAUUAACAUGCUUUUAUAACUCUUCACAAUAUAUCCUCAAAAUAUUAUAGUCUUAAUAAAUAUGGCCUAUGAGAUCCGAUACAUACUCAUGCAAUUCAAUGCUUCAUUUCCAUUUCAUUCAAUUUGCAAUUUCUCAUGCUCACAAUUUAAAUCAUAUCACUAGCAAAUUUUCAUUUAAUUCACGUACAAUUCAAUGCCACUAAGUUUAACACUAAUAUGUAAUUACCAUUUAAUUCAACGUUUAUUGACUAUACCAUUAAUUAACACGUUUAUGAAAUUCUCAAUUCAAUAACUUAUUCUAUUAAAUUCAAGUAUUAUUUCGCUAUUUCAAAUUAUUUUAUUUUCACUUCUCAUUUUUACAUCAUUUUAUAUUACCAAAAUCUAUUUCAUAAAAUUUAUCCUUAUCUGACAUUAAAUCACACACAUACUUUUCAUUACAAUUAUCACUACUAAUAAACAAUUCAAUCUUUUAAUAUUAUCAACUAAUUAUAUAUAACUAUCAUUCUUAUUUCUUUAUUUCAAAUUUCACUUUUCACAUAUGUCUUAUCAUUCAGACUUAGUUUUAUCAGUAACUUUAUUUCAUUUGCCCCUAUUAACUUGACUCGGACUCGACGGAUACACGGAUUCCAACCAAACACACCAGUAUACAGUAAUCAGUAACGGUAGCAGUAACAGUAUUCAACACACAAAGUGCUGAAUCUGUAACAGUAACGGUAACAGUAUUCGACACACAAAGUGCCGAAUCGAUAACAGUAACAGUAACAGUAUUCGACACACAAAGUGCCGAGUCGGUAACAGUAACAGUAACAGUAUUCGACACACAAAGUGCCGAAUCAGUAACAGUAACAGUAGUCGGCACAUAAGUGCCUAAUCAGUAAGCCGGCAAAUACCCCGUACUCUUCCAUAUCCUAUGGCAUGCCAACUAUAUCCGACUAGCCCGACUAGUUAAUAGGGUAUUUAAUUCACUUUCCAGUAUAAAUUUCCAUCUUAGUUCAGUAUCAAUUAUAAUUUCUUAUUUCAAUCAGUUUCAUAGUAUUGCAGUAAUUCAUUAUUUCAGUAUUUUCACAGUUCAAUGCCGUAUACAUAACAAUAUUCAGUAUUCCGUAAUUCAGUUCAGUAUCAGUCUCACAUAUCAAUUUCCACUUUCUCAGUUUCAAUUCCAAUAAAAUCCAUAUCAAUCACCAAUUUCAAUGUUCCAGUUUAAUUCAAUAAUUCAAUUCAAACCAUUUCAAUUUCUAUUCAAUAAUCACAUUUCAAUGCAUAACUUAUAAAUUUAACGUGACAUAAUUCAGCCACUACUUGGCCAAAGGCCUAAGCAUGUAUACCCAAAAUAUGUUAGCCAAAUACACAUAUAACAUAAGCAUUAUAAAGCAUGGAUGAGCACAACAUUUAUUAAUGGUGCCCCACUUUUUACCAAACAGGGUGUUAAAUUCAUAAACCAUUGACAUUNNNNNNNNNNNNNNNNNNNNNNNNNNNNNNNNNNNNNNNNNNNNNNNNNNNNNNNNNNNNNNNNNNNNNNNNNNNNNNNNNNNNNNNNNNNNNNNNNNNNNNNNNNNNNNNNNNNNNNNNNNNNNNNNNNNNNNNNNNNNNNNNNNNNNNNNNNNNNNNNNNNNNNNNNNNNNNNNNNNNNNNNNNNNNNNNNNNNNNNNNNNNNNNNNNNNNNNNNNNNNNNNNNNNNNNNNNNNNNNNNNNNNNNNNNNNNNNNNNNNNNNNNNNNNNNNNNNNNNNNNNNNNNNNNNNNNNNNNNNNNNNNNNNNNNNNNNNNNNNNNNNNNNNNNNNNNNNNNNNNNNNNNNNNNNNNNNNNNNNNNNNNNNNNNNNNNNNNNNNNNNNNNNNNNNNNNNNNNNNNNNNNNNNNNNNNNNNNNNNNNNNNNNNNNNNNNNNNNNNNNNNNNNNNNNNNNNNNNNNNNNNNNNNNNNNNNNNNNNNNNNNNNNNNNNNNNNNNNNNNNNNNNNNNNNNNNNNNNNNNNNNNNNNNNNNNNNNNNNNNNNNNNNNNNNNNNNNNNNNNNNNNNNNNNNNNNNNNNNNNNNNNNNNNNNNNNNNNNNNNNNNNNNNNNNNNNNNNNNNNNNNNNNNNNNNNNNNNNNNNNNNNNNNNNNNNNNNNNNNNNNNNNNNNNNNNNNNNNNNNNNNNNNNNNNNNNNNNNNNNNNNNNNNNNNNNNNNNNNNNNNNNNNNNNNNNNNNNNNNNNNNNNNNNNNNNNNNNNNNNNNNNNNNNNNNNNNNNNNNNNNNAUUUUUGGUGAUUUUUCAAAGUUAGACUACUACUGCUGUCCAAAACUGUUUUAGUGCAAAAUGUUGAUUUCCAUUUUGCCCCAAAUUUCACAGUUUAUACAAUUCAGUCCUUUCUCAAUUAACCCCUCAAUUGAUCUAAUUCUCUCAAUUAAUACUUUACCUAGACAUUAUAAGUUAUUUCACAACUAUUGAAAUUCAGAAUUUCCACAUAUAGCUCUAACUUCAAACUCUUUUACUAUUAGGUCCCAAACAUUCACUUUCUAUUCAAUUCUUUCAAUAAAAUCAGCAUAUGAACAAUUUAAAGCUCUAAUUCCAUGAUAAAUUAUCAUAUACUUCCAGCACAUAUUCAUAUCAACUUUCAACUUCUUUCAUAAAAUCAAAAACUAAUGAAUUCAACAAGUGGGCCUAGUUGUAAAAGUCAUAAAAAUACAAAAAUUUCAAGAAAUGAUCAAGAAUUGAACUUACUUGCAGUAAAAAUAUGAAGAACCAGCUUGAAGAAACCCUUCCAUGGUGUUUUAGCUGAUGAGAAU
This 21078-nucleotide long non-coding RNA is filed under the name Gossypium raimondii (Peruvian cotton). Its description in RNAcentral is "long non-coding RNA (GRAI_LNC001170)". The record is from RNAcentral. Lineage: Eukaryota; Viridiplantae; Streptophyta; Magnoliopsida; Malvales; Malvaceae.